Molecule: long non-coding RNA, 1423 nt
Filed under: Homo sapiens (human)
Lineage: Eukaryota; Metazoa; Chordata; Mammalia; Primates; Hominidae
Description: non-protein coding lnc-FOXD4L5-12:1
Source: RNAcentral
AAGGCGGAGCUCCCCUGGAUGGCGUCAAGUUUGCGGGCACAGAGCACAGCCCACCAGGCCUGAAGGUCCGCUCAGGGGCCAUAGUGGUUGAGUUCUCUGUGGAACUGGGAUGGGGUGAACAGCCAGUUCCCGUCCUUUGGCCGCCUGGCCAACUGCCAGACUUAACCGCUGCCGCCCAGGCAUCUGUCUCUAGCGUUGCCACUACUUGGGUAGAAGUGGGGGUCGAGGUGGGGCGUGGAGCGUCACCGGUUGCCAGGCCAGCACUGUCUUUGCAACAUAUUCAGAUGGCGGCGGGCAGCUCGGGCGCCAGCAUGGGCUGGCGGGGCUCCCCUGGACGGCCCUCAGGUCGCUCACAGCAUUGUCCCAGGACUUCCUCGGCCUGUGCCAGGUGGGCAAGGUACGGGGGUAGCUUCCAAGGCUUCUAUCCCAACUCUACCUAUUUCUACCUAUUUUCUCUUGAGUUAUUUUGCCUUUAUCUCAGUUUUAUUUGCAAAAAUAGUAUACGCAAAAUACAUCGAGUGAAUGCACAUCAGGCAUAUAGAAGAUCUGGCAGAAACAUGUUUUCUCCUGCCCAUUUCCAGUCAGUAUUUGAACACAGAGGCUUCCACGGUUUUGAUUCUUUCCACAAAAGGUUAGUUUUGUCUGUUUUCACCAUUUAUGUAAGUGAAACUAUAAAUUAUAUAAUUUUUAUGUUCACUCACUAAACAUGCUUGUGACACAUCAUUUUGCUCCUACUGAUUAUUCAUUAUUUUGUAAUAUUCAAUUUUAUGACUGUACCACAGGUUUGAGGCCUUUGCUUGUUUUGUUUUUAAUCCAUUCCACUAUUGAUAGACACAAAAGCAGUUUCCGAUUUGAGGCUAUCAUGAAUAAACCUGCUACGAACAAAUCAGAUAUACAUAUUUUUUUCUGUAAUAAUAUUUUCACUUUUCUUGAGUUUAAGUACAUAAGAGUGGAUUUUCUGGGUUAUAAAAUAAGUAUAUAUUUGGCAUUGUAUGAAAUGGGGAGACAUUUUCCUAAGUGGUUAUGCCAUCUUAAACUACAAUGAAAAUGAGAGAAUCAGUUCCACUUUCUAACCAAUACUUGAUGCUGUCAGUUGUUUUAGUAUUAUCCAUUCUUAUGGGAUAUAACUGCUGAGUAGCUGUCUGCCUUCUCCCAUAACACAGAAAAUUGAGGGCCCAGAGGACAGUUUUAUUUUCAUAUUUGACAUCUUCUAUUAUUUUUUAUAGAAGGAUGAUUUCAGUAGUAAAAUUUUCUUUCAAUUUUCUAGGUUGUCUCUGAUUCUUACUGGGGUUCCUUGUCCUAAACCACAUUCAGAAAUUUUCACGACCGACUUCUUAUCUUUGUCAUACCAGGCCAAUGAGGGACAGCAUUCCUGAGACUUUUUAAGUACUUUGUGUGUGUGUGAUGGUCUAAUAAUCAUAGC